RNAcentral lists this ribosomal RNA (300 nucleotides) under uncultured Bacillus sp. RNAcentral's name for it is "bacterial SSU rRNA". It matches the Rfam family "Bacterial small subunit ribosomal RNA", at positions 1078 to 1382 of the family's 1533-position model. The record is from RNAcentral. Lineage: Bacteria; Bacillati; Bacillota; Bacilli; Caryophanales; Bacillaceae.
GGUUAAGUCCGCACGAGCGCAACCCACGUUAGUUGCUAACGCGUGAAGGCGAGCACUCUAGACGAACUGCCGUUGACAAAACGGAGGAAGGUGGGGAUGACGUCAAAUCAUCAUGCCCCUUAUGUUCUGGGCUACACACGUGCUACAAUGGCCGGUACAGACGGACGCAAAGCCGCGAGGUGGAGCAAAUCCUAAAAAGCCGGUCUCAGUUCGGGUUGCAGGCUGCAAUUCGCCUGCAUGAAGUCGGAAUCGCUAGUAAUCGCAGGUCAGCAUACUGCGGUGAAUACGUUCCCGGGCCUU